AUUGGAGAUGUCACAAACUGGGAUGUGAACCAAUACCCAAGGUUCACUCUGCAUCGCUAUUACAUAUACCAAAGAAAGUAUAGCUCUUUUUUGGAGAUGAUAGUUAGUGCAUCCCUACGACCUAAAGAAGGCUAAGCCAAAGCUGGUGAAUGUAUUUCAUGCAUGGGUAACGCAAAUAUAGAUCUUUAUUCUUGCCAGGGUCAUAUGC
This 208-nucleotide long non-coding RNA is filed under the name Carica papaya (papaya). RNAcentral's name for it is "long non-coding RNA (CPAP_LNC003779)". The record is from RNAcentral. Lineage: Eukaryota; Viridiplantae; Streptophyta; Magnoliopsida; Brassicales; Caricaceae.